CUCAAUAAUAUGGAAUAGAGGUCUCACAUCAAUGUCACGGCCAUCAGGGGCAUGUGUGGCUCGAAGUUGGUUUAACAUUGUCGUGUCAUCAGAACUUGAGAACAAAUGACGAUCACCCCUGAAUCGUUGUUUUCUGGCAGGCUGAAUGAACCUACUACCUUGCUUGGAAGAGGGUCAAAACUUUUGAUCUGCAGAAAGGUUAAGAAUUUCGGAUAAGAAUUGUAAGUUAUCCUUGCUUUGAAUAAAGAUAGGCUGAAGAUUCUCAUGCUAGGAAACCUGAUUGGUUUUGGUACUAUUAUUGCAAGAGGUUGUUUAUGUUCCCAAUUAUCUUACCAUGAUUGUAUUGUAUUGUAUUGUAUUCACUCAGUGCAAAAAUAAAUGUCGUUAUCUAAAGAACUGUUGUUUGACAAUACUUAUACAAAAUUACAAACAUUAUCCUUUUCACCAUUCAAAAUAUUCUGAAAAAUGUACAGUAAGUUUUAGCACCAACAGGUUCUAUCUAUGUGAGCAAUGGUUAAAUUUUCCUUUUACAUUACUUCUCCAUUUCGGCCUAGAAUACUAUAAAUACCACUUAUCUGGCUAUAGUAGUACCUUUUAAGCUGAACACAAAAUAACUUGAACAUUUGUCCAUAAAUAAGUAAUAUAGCACUAUAAUAUCCAUCGGCAGCACCUUGUCCCUGGUAAAUGAAGAACAUGCAUAUGUAGUAAAGCAUGGACGCCUAAACAUAUGAGUAUUUAAUAAGGAAUUGGAUCGAUGAGCAUCUAUAAGAUAUCAAAAACAUAUUUUUUCAUCCUGGGACUGAGAUUUUAGAAUAUAGUUUAGGUUAAUUAGAUAUAAUCCUUGUCUAGACUAUAUUAGCUUAUUCGAUUCUCAAUGCGAGCAAAGUGUACGUAUAUACUGGCUUUUGUUGUAAUUCUUUUGUAGGAAUUUAUUACAUAUUAUGAUUUGCUUUCAGUUAUGUCUAUGGUUGAACCCAUUAAAGUAUAAGUAUUGUUCGUUGUUGCCAAGAUUACAUCCUUCAUGCUAUAUAUUCAAUUGGAUCUGGGAAAAGCUGAGAAGAGAACUUGAAAAAGCAUUCCUUAUGUUGAGGAUCUCUAAAGUUAGUGACCCUAUAAUUUAAGUGUGAUAUAAAUAUAAUAUAUGCUCUUUUCUUUUUGUCAAACUAAAUACCAUGAGCUUAACCAUCUAAGAUCCACAACUAGUUAUUAGUGGAAGACUUAACCACUGCAUUUGACCUAUACAUAAGGAACGAAGUACUUAGAAUCAUUAUCAAUCAUGAUCAUCGGUUGAUUCAAAGGCUCUGAGUUCCAAAUUUUCUUCUUCUUCUUCGUUGCUCUCUACUUUAAGGAUCUAGCCUAAAACUCGUGAAUCGUGAUACCAUGAUGAACUUAUAAUAAUAAGAUAAAAGGAGAGGAAUAUAUGGCAAUAGAAGAAACACAACAAACUGAUGCAUUGGAUGUAUGUACUGCAUUAAACGAGUUACAGUAAGAAUAUUUAUAGGAGCAUUUAUGAUCUCCAUGAUCUCUAUAACUAAUUGUCACAGUAACAAGAUAAGGUUAACAACUUAAAAGAUCCACUAAUUGACAUAACAAUCACAUGUUUAUUAACUAAGAACUUACUGACCUUAGAAUUAGAAAACUAACUAAUAACUUCUAAGUCAGCAGUUCUUCCUUAAAAAGAGGAGUCAUUAUAAUACUCACAGAAGUUCUAAUUAUGAUUGCUCUCACAACAAUUCAAAAGUCAGUCAUUUGUAUCCAGGAAAUCUACACCACAUCAUAGAUGAUAAAUUUCUCCAUAGGACGCUUACACAUUUCACAAAUUACGGCUUCUUCCAUUAGCUCUUUCUCGUAUCUACUAAUUCUUGAGUGGGAGCAUGGCUCAGUUAGUGGAGGUUCCAGAGAAAGUCUGAUAGCAUCUAUUAACCCAAUUUCUGGCAGAAACUUUUUCCAUACCUGUUCUUUACUCAGGAAGUUAGCCCAUUCAUCACCGUCAAGCUUUACAGUAUUUGUUGAAGAACCCUUCCCAACAAUUAUCCAGUCUUCAUCUAAAUCAUCAUCUAGUAAUGUUAUUACCUUGCUCAGAAUA
Molecule: long non-coding RNA, 2086 nt
Organism: Beta vulgaris subsp. vulgaris (sugar beet)
Lineage: Eukaryota; Viridiplantae; Streptophyta; Magnoliopsida; Caryophyllales; Amaranthaceae
Exons: 2
Source: RefSeq, a predicted model, not a curated record